GUGCUUGCUUCGGCAGCACAUAUACUAAAAUUGGAAUGAUACAGAGAAGAUUAGCAUGGCCACUGUGCAAGGAUGACACACAAACAGCUGUAUACAGCACAUAGCUUU
Small nuclear RNA from Sorex araneus (European shrew), 108 nucleotides. Lineage: Eukaryota; Metazoa; Chordata; Mammalia; Eulipotyphla; Soricidae. The record is from RefSeq and is a predicted model, not a curated record.